AAUCAACGCUGGCGGCGUGCCUCAGACAUGCAAGUCGAACGCGAAAGUCCCCUUCGGGGGAUAAGUAGAGUGGCGCACGGGUGAGUAACACGUAGGUAAUCUACCUUCGGGUGGGGAAUAACCCAGGGAAACUUGGGCUAACACCGCAUAAUGCAGCGGCACCACAUGGUGACAGUUGUUAAAGCGGGGGAUUUUCGGACCUCGCGCCUGGAGAGGAGCCUGCGGCAGAUUAGCUAGNGGUUAAGGUAACGGCUUACCAAGGCGACGAUCUGUAACCGGCCUGAGAGGGCGGUCGGUCACACUGACACUGACAUACGGGUCAGACUCCUACGGGAGGCAGCAGUCGGGAAUUUUGGGCAAUGGGCGAAAGCCUGACCCAGCAACGCCGCGUGAAGGAUG
RNAcentral lists this ribosomal RNA (399 nucleotides) under uncultured bacterium. RNAcentral's name for it is "bacterial SSU rRNA". It matches the Rfam family "Bacterial small subunit ribosomal RNA", at positions 32 to 410 of the family's 1533-position model. The record is from RNAcentral.